AGUGAACGCUGGCGGUAGGCCUAACACAUGCAAGUCGAACGGCAGCACAGUAAGAGCUUGCUCUUACGGGUGGCGAGUGGCGGACGGGUGAGGAAUACAUCGGAAUCUACUCUUUCGUGGGGGAUAACGUAGGGAAACUUACGCUAAUACCGCAUACGACCUACGGGUGAAAGCAGGGGAUCUUCGGACCUUGCGCGAUUGAAUGAGCCGAUGUCGGAUUAGCUAGUUGGCGGGGUAAAGGCCCACCAAGGCGACGAUCCGUAGCUGGUCUGAGAGGAUGAUCAGCCACACGGGAACUGAGACACGGUCCAUACUCCUACGGGAGGCAGCAGUGGGGAAUAUUGGACAAUGGGCGCAAGCCUGAUCCAGUCAUACCGCGUGGGUGAAGAAGGCCUUCGGGUUGUAAAGCCCUUUUGUUGGGAAAGAAAAGCAGCAGGUUAAUACCCCGCUGUUCUGACGGUACCCAAAGAAUAAGCACCGGCUAACUUCGUG
Molecule: ribosomal RNA, 492 nt
Filed under: uncultured bacterium
Lineage: Bacteria
Description: partial 16S ribosomal RNA
Rfam family: Bacterial small subunit ribosomal RNA
Source: RNAcentral